RNAcentral lists this ribosomal RNA (447 nucleotides) under uncultured bacterium. Its description in RNAcentral is "bacterial SSU rRNA". It matches the Rfam family "Bacterial small subunit ribosomal RNA", at positions 329 to 792 of the family's 1533-position model. The record is from RNAcentral.
AGCCAGACUCCUACGGGAGGCAGCAGUGGGGGAUAUUGCACAAUGGGGGAAACCCUGAUGCAGCGACGCCGCGUGGGUGAAGAAGUAUUUCGGUAUGUAAAGCCCUAUCAGCAGGGAAGAAAGAAGACGGUACCUGACUAAGAAGCCCCGGCUAACUACGUGCCAGCAGCCGCGGUAAUACGUAGGGGGCGAGCGUUAUCCGGAUUCACUGGGUGUAAAGGGAGCGUAGACGGCCGUGCAAGCCAGGAGUGAAAGCCCGGGGCCCAACCCCGGGACUGCUCUUGGAACUGUGCGGCUGGAGUGCGGGAGAGGUAAGCGGAAUUCCUAGUGUAGCGGUGAAAUGCGUAGAUAUUAGGAGGAACACCAGUGGCGAAGGCGGCUUACUGGACUGUAACUGACGUUGAGGCUCGAAAGCGUGGGGAGCAAACAGGAUUAGAUACCCCAGUA